ACUUCUCCAGCGUAGCAAUUAUCACUUAGUUGUUACAUAUACCGUGCCUGUCGCUAACGCGAGGUAGAGCAAAGUGAACACUGUGGUGGUGUACUCGGUAAAGCAGGACCUGGGCGAGUUUUAAAAAACACUUUGUA
RNAcentral lists this non-coding RNA (137 nucleotides) under unclassified sequences. RNAcentral describes it as "EGFOA RNA". The stretch from base 20 to 136 matches the Rfam family "EGFOA RNA". The record is from Rfam by way of RNAcentral.